UGCUGCUGUACCUCAGGUUGAUCCUUUCACC
RNAcentral lists this non-coding RNA (31 nucleotides) under Mus musculus (house mouse). Lineage: Eukaryota; Metazoa; Chordata; Mammalia; Rodentia; Muridae. The record is from RNAcentral.